Molecule: ribosomal RNA, 405 nt
Filed under: uncultured bacterium
Lineage: Bacteria
Description: partial 16S ribosomal RNA
Rfam family: Bacterial small subunit ribosomal RNA
Source: RNAcentral
AGUGAACGCUGGCGGUGUGCCUAAUACAUGCAAGUCGAACGAGUGGCGCACGGGUGAGUAAUAUAUAGUUAAUCUGUCCUACACAGAGGAACAACAGUUGGAAACGGCUGCUAAUACCUCAUAGUAGGAUGCGACUAUAUCGUAUCAGCUAGUUGGUAAGGUAAUGGCUUACCCAGGCUAUGAUGCGUAACUGGUCUGGGUGUUUGAUCAGUCACAUUGGAACUGAGACACGGUCCAAACUCCGACGGGAGGCAGCAGUAGGGGAUCUUCGGCAAUGGGGGGAACCCUGACCGAGCAACGCCGCGGGACUGAAGAAGGUUUUCGGAUCGUAGAGCUCUGUUGUUAAGGAAGCGGUACUUAACCAGAAAGGGACGGCUAACUACGUGCCAGCAGCCGCGGUAAUAC